AGAGUUUGAUCCUGGCUCAGGAUGAACGCUAGCGGCAGGCCUAAUACAUGCAAGUCGAACGAGAUUAUCCAGCUUGCUGGAUUUGAAAGUGGCGCACGGGUGCGUAACGCGUAUGCAACCUACCUUAAUCAGGGGGAUAGCCCGGAGAAAUCCGGAUUAACACCGCAUAAAAACACAGGAUAGCAUUAUCCAAUGUUCAAAUAUUUAUAGGAUUAAGAUGGGCAUGCGUGUCAUUAGCUAGUUGGCGGGGUAACGGCCCACCAAGGCGACGAUGACUAGGGGAUCUGAGAGGAUGACCCCCCACACUGGUACUGAGACACGGACCAGACUCCUACGGGAGGCAGCAGUAAGGAAUAUUGGUCAAUGGAGGCAACUCUGAACCAGCCAUGCCGCGUGCAGGAAGACUGCCCUAUGGGUUGUAAACUGCUUUUAUCCGGGAAUAAACCUCUUUACGAGUAAAGAGCUGAAUGUACCGGAAGAAUAAGGAUCGGCUAACUCCGUGCCAGCAGCCGCGGUAAUACGGAGGAUCCAAGCGUUAUCCCGGAUUUAUUGGGUUUAAAGGGUGCGUAGGCGGCCUGUUAAGUCAGGGGUGAAAGACGGUAGCUCAACUAUCGCAGUGCCCUUGAUACUGAUGGGCUUGAAUGGACUAGAGGUAGGCGGAAUGAGACAAGUAGCGGUGAAAUGCAUAGAUAUGUCUCAGAACACCGAUUGCGAAGGCAGCUUACUAUGGUCUUAUUGACGCUGAGGCACGAAAGCGUGGGGAUCAAACAGGAUUAGAUACCCUGGUAGUCCACGCCCUAAACGAUGAACACUCGCUGUUGGCGAUACACAGUCAGCGGCUAAGCGAAAGCGUUAAGUGUUCCACCUGGGGAGUACGGUCGCAAGA
This 886-nucleotide ribosomal RNA is filed under the name Pedobacter sp. AKB-2008-TE5. Its description in RNAcentral is "bacterial SSU rRNA". It matches the Rfam family "Bacterial small subunit ribosomal RNA", at positions 8 to 893 of the family's 1533-position model. The record is from RNAcentral. Lineage: Bacteria; Pseudomonadati; Bacteroidota; Sphingobacteriia; Sphingobacteriales; Sphingobacteriaceae.